GGGGAUUUAGCUCAGUGGUAGAGUGCUUGCCUAGCAAGCGCAAGGCCCUGGGUUCGGUUCCCAGCUCCG
Molecule: non-coding RNA, 69 nt
Organism: Rattus norvegicus (Norway rat)
Lineage: Eukaryota; Metazoa; Chordata; Mammalia; Rodentia; Muridae
Source: Rfam